GAGUUUGAUCCUGGCUCAGAAUGAACGCUGGCGGCAUGCCUAACACAUGCAAGUCGAACGAAGGCUUCGGCCUUAGUGGCGCACGGGUGCGUAACGCGUGGGAAUCUGCCCUCAGGUUCGGAAUAACAGCGAGAAAUUGCUGCUAAUACCGGAUGAUAUCGCGAGAUCAAAGAUUUAUCGCCUGAGGAUGAGCCCGCGUAGGAUUAGCUAGUUGGUGUGGUAAAGGCGCACCAAGGCGACGAUCCUUAGCUGGUCUGAGAGGAUGAUCAGCCACACUGGGACUGAGACACGGCCCAACUCCUACGGGAGGCAGCAGUGGGGAAUAUUGGACAAUGGGCGAAAGCCUGAUCCAGCAAUGCCGCGUGAGUGAUGAAGGCCUUAGGGUUGUAAAGCUCUUUUACCCGGGAUGAUAAUGACAGUACCGGGAGAAUAAGCUCCGGCUAACUCCGUGCCAGCAGCCGCGGUAAUACGGAGGGAGCUAGCGUUAUUCGGAAUUACUGGGCGUAAAGCGCACGUAGGCGGCUUUGUAAGUUAGAGGUGAAAGCCUGGAGCUCAACUCCAGAAUUGCCUUUAAGACUGCAUCGCUUGAAUCCAGGAGAGGUG
This 603-nucleotide ribosomal RNA is filed under the name uncultured bacterium. Its description in RNAcentral is "bacterial SSU rRNA". It matches the Rfam family "Bacterial small subunit ribosomal RNA", at positions 9 to 659 of the family's 1533-position model. The record is from RNAcentral.